GGAUGGUUACAUACAGUUUUGCACAGACAUCUGGAAAGUUUGAUCUGGGAGAGACCACAUCACAGAAAAAUUGUUACUGUCUGAGGGGACACUGGUGAUAAAAACCUUAAAACUCAUAUCUUAACUAAAUCUUACAUGUGCUCAACCUGCCACCUUUUUUGUCAUCACUGGAGUGAAUAGUCUAAUGUGUGCCUAUGAAAUAUUACACCAGACAUAAGGGUUCAACUUAUAGCCACGCUCUGGUGCCCUCAAGAAGUUUGUUUAGAGGGCAAAAGUAGAAGAAGAGCAGCAGCUGCGGGGGCCUCAUGUGAACUUGGACAAGGGACAUCUCUGCACCACGCUAUUCAGAAAGAAGCCCAGAGGAGUCUUCCAGAUGUGCUGACCCUGGGCUUCUGCACCACUGCAACACCUGUAUGGAAUCCAGGCAAAGGCUGGACCAUCAGAGGGGCUCUGAUGUUGCAUGCUGUGUGUGAAGCAUCUUCUGUUUCACCCUGGCAGUCAUGAUUCUCUUUGAGCCGCAGUUUGUUUUCUGUCUCUGGAAGUUCAUGGCAGAGCCCUGAGCCAUCAUCUGCCGCCAAUCCUCCUCUUUUUUGCUGAGGAAGACUGCACCUGAGCUAACAUCUGUGCCCAUCUUCCUCUACUUUACAUGUGGGACGCCUACCACAGCAUGGUUUACCAAGCGGUGCCAUGUCCACACCCGGGAUCUGAACCAGCGAACCCUGGGCCGCCAAAGCAGAAUGUGUGCACUUAACUGCUGAGCCACUGGAACGGCCCCCAAACAUCAUUCUUUUUAAAAAAUGUCAAUUAUUAUGUAUUUAUUCAUUCAGAAAAUCUAUAACUUUGUCAGAUCCCCUCACCUUCAUCCCAAACUAUAUUUUUAUUUGAAUAACGUUAAAUAUACAAAUACAUGUCAGAGAACUAAAUCAGUACAAUUUUUAGUUUUCAUCUAAGAAUAUUGAAUUAUUCUUUAACUUUAAGGAAG
This 982-nucleotide long non-coding RNA is filed under the name Equus caballus (horse). RNAcentral describes it as "lncRNA (ENSECAG00000028077.3)". The record is from RNAcentral. Lineage: Eukaryota; Metazoa; Chordata; Mammalia; Perissodactyla; Equidae.